GCUGGGUGCAAUGGCACACACCUGUAAUCCCAUCAACUCAGGAGGCUGAGACAGGAGGAUCAUGAGUUCAAAGCCAGCCUUAGCAACAGCGAGGUGCUAAGCAACUCAGUGAGACCCUGUCUCUA
RNAcentral lists this small RNA (125 nucleotides) under Marmota monax (woodchuck). Lineage: Eukaryota; Metazoa; Chordata; Mammalia; Rodentia; Sciuridae. The record is from RNAcentral.